RNAcentral lists this ribosomal RNA (869 nucleotides) under uncultured bacterium. RNAcentral's name for it is "bacterial SSU rRNA". It matches the Rfam family "Bacterial small subunit ribosomal RNA", at positions 1 to 889 of the family's 1533-position model. The record is from RNAcentral.
UAGAGUUUGAUCCUGGCUCAGGACGAACGCUGGCGGCGCGCCUAACACAUGCAAGUCGAACGAGAGAUGAGGAGCUUGCUCUUCAAAUCGAGUGGCGAACGGGUGAGUAACGCGUGAGGAACCUGCCUCAAAGAGGGGGACAACAGUUGGAAACGACUGCUAAUACCGCAUAAGCCCACGGCUCGGCAUCGAGCAGAGGGAAAAGGAGCAAUCCGCUUUGAGAUGGCCUCGCGUCCGAUUAGCUAGUUGGUGAGGUAACGGCCCACCAAGGCGACGAUCGGUAGCCGGACUGAGAGGUUGAACGGCCACAUUGGGACUGAGACACGGCCCAGACUCCUACGGGAGGCAGCAGUGGGGAAUAUUGCACAAUGGGGGAAACCCUGAUGCAGCGACGCCGCGUGGAGGAAGAAGGUCUUCGGAUUGUAAACUCCUGUUGUUGAGGAAGAUAAUGACGGUACUCAACAAGGAAGUGACGGCUAACUACGUGCCAGCAGCCGCGGUAAAACGUAGGUCACAAGCGUUGUCCGGAAUUACUGGGUGUAAAGGGAGCGCAGGCGGGAGAACAAGUUGGAAGUGAAAUCCAUGGGCUCAACCCAUGAACUGCUUUCAAAACUGUUUUUCUUGAGUAGUGCAGAGGUAGGCGGAAUUCCCGGUGUAGCGGUGGAAUGCGUAGAUAUCGGGAGGAACACCAGUGGCGAAGGCGGCCUACUGGGCACCAACUGACGCUGAGGCUCGAAAGUGUGGGUAGCAAACAGGAUUAGAUACCCUGGUAGUCCACACCGUAAACGAUGAUUACUAGGUGUUGGAGGAUUGACCCCUUCAGUGCCGCAGUUAACACAAUAAGUAAUCCACCUGGGGAGUACGACCGC